AUGAAGACUUUGUGUGUUGCUGUUGUUGUGCUGAGUCUCACCUCAGUGUGUCAGUCUGCACCGUUGACCUGUGAGCAGCUGAAUAAGCCACUCGACAAAAGUCCAGACUUGUCUGGAAGAUGGUAUAUGAUAGCGCUGAGCUCAGACGUCUGUCUGAUUCCAAGCCUCCUGAAUGCCUUGUUUUGGCCCAGUCUUGUUAUUGACUUUAAAGAACAGGACACACCAAACCUCUACAAUGCCAACGUUACGUUCAACAUGCAUGACUUUUGUGACUCAAAAGUUGAAACCUUCUUCCUUAAAAGCAGCAGCCUUUUUGAUGUGGACAGCAACAAUUCUCCAACUGGUGAGCCUGAUACGCUGCUGCACACUGGCUGUCCUGACUGCCUCGUUAUCAAGGGGAAUGAUGGCAUCAACUUGCUCAUGUACUUCAGUAGGAGAAAAACUGUCACUGAUGCUGAGCUGAAGGAGUUUGAGACACAGUCAGAAUGUAUGGGCUGGUUCAAACCGGAGGUCCUAAACACAGUCCAUGAAUACAAAGACUGCAAGUCCUUUGAUGACGACAAUGAGCAUGAUGUUUCAACUUUAUUGGCCAAGAUGGGUCAACGAAUGAAAAGCUCAUUUAUGUCUCCUCUUCGAUGUAUUGGACAGUAUAUUUUUAACAUCCCUUCCAUUGGGUGGACAUAGAAAGAGUUGAACAGCCUUCUGUGAAUGAACAAAUAAAAACUACACUAAAUGUGAAACA
RNAcentral lists this long non-coding RNA (742 nucleotides) under Betta splendens (Siamese fighting fish). RNAcentral's name for it is "lncRNA (ENSBSLG00000010684.1)". The record is from RNAcentral. Lineage: Eukaryota; Metazoa; Chordata; Actinopteri; Anabantiformes; Osphronemidae.